AUACGUAGGGGGCGAGCGUUGUCCGGAAUUACUGGGCGUAAAGGGUGCGUAGGCGGCCAUUUAAGUCUUGUGUGAAAGGCCCCGGCUUAACCGGGGAGCUGCAUGGGAAACUGGAUGGCUUGAGUGCUGGAGAGGGUUGCGGAAUUCCCAGUGUAGCGGUGAAAUGCGUAGAUAUUGGGAGGAACACCAGUGGCGAAGGCGGCAACCUGGACAGUAACUGACGCUGAGGCACGACAGCUGGGGGAGCAAACAGGAUUAGAUACCCUGGUAGUCCCAGCCGUAAACGAUGAGUGCUAGGUGUUGCGGGUAUCGACCCCUGCAGUGCCGCAGUUAACGCAAUAAGCACUCCGCCUGGGGAGUACGGCCGCAAGGCUGAA
Molecule: ribosomal RNA, 377 nt
Filed under: uncultured bacterium
Lineage: Bacteria
Description: bacterial SSU rRNA
Rfam family: Bacterial small subunit ribosomal RNA
Source: RNAcentral